Molecule: ribosomal RNA, 253 nt
Filed under: Alistipes ihumii AP11
Lineage: Bacteria; Pseudomonadati; Bacteroidota; Bacteroidia; Bacteroidales; Rikenellaceae
Also listed under: 1 other name
Description: partial 16S ribosomal RNA
Rfam family: Bacterial small subunit ribosomal RNA
Source: RNAcentral
UACGGAGGAUCCGAGCGUUAUCCGGAUUUAUUGGGUUUAAAGGGUGCGUAGGCUGUUUUUUAAGUUAGAGGUGAAAGCUCGACGCUCAACGUCGAAAUUGCCUCUGAUACUGAGAGACUAGAGUGUAGUUGCGGAAGGCGGAAUGUGUGGUGUAGCGGUGAAAUGCUUAGAUAUCACACAGAACACCGAUUGCGAAGGCAGCUUUCCAAGCUAUUACUGACGCUGAGGCACGAAAGCGUGGGGAGCGAACAGG